AACGAGGUGGUCAGAGCUGAGAUGGCUUGUGGCGACACAAUUUAAUAUUUACGUCAAUAGAAAUUAUUUUUUGGUUUUCUUUAAGCGACUCUAAGAUAGAAGUCAGCUUUGUAAAUCCUAAAGUGAAAAAGAAUUCCGUAAGGGGUAAGAUUGACACAUGUUCUUUCAAAGCGGAUAGGACGUAAGAGUACAAUUUAAGCACGGCCCCAAUUAUUAAAAUGCUAAAACCCCAACUAAGCGAGGGUGGAUCUGCAUUGCCUUCUGCUACUCAAGGGCUAAAAUUUCCAAAAAUCAUGACGUCUAUUGAUGGUCGGAAUCAUUCUCCAAAUAAUUUCUCUAAUUCGCCUCAAUUUUGUGUAGGUUGGCAUCGAUCUGCCAAUAAAAACCAUGCGAUGGCCUCUCCAUUGAAACUUAUCUCCACUGCCUCCAAUUUCUCUGGUUUGGAGGUGAAAUUCAGAACAAAAUCUCUCUUCCAUGGCAGCCCACUCAUCAGGAUUUUCUCAACCGAACCGAGGAAUUUCCUGCAUCUUCUCCUUUUGUGCCCGAUCAUAUUCACAAGUGUCUUGUUCAUCAUUCUUCUGUAGCAUACUCUCGCAUUUUCUAUGGCCAAUAAUCUAGGUUCAUCUUAUCCGCUACCAAGCCUAAACUUUCCUCCAUUUUUUUUUUUUUUUUUUUUUUGGGGUCAUUGGCCCUAAAAUCGAUGUUCUAAUACCAAAUGAUAGGUACCAACACAGAUUAAAAAGCAAAAGAACAAACUGUAAAAUUGUAUUCCUAAAUGAAGAUGAAUCACAAUGUUUGACGACCAUUCGAGAGUCCUCUCUCUCUCCCAAUUUCAAAACCUAAUUUCAGCCAAACUAAAAUGAAUUACCCUCCACCUAUUUAUAGAUAAAAGCCUAUACAAUUUAUUGUAUUAGAUACCCUUAACAUCCCCAUCCCCUAGAAAAUGAACUUGUGGAUACCUAUAACUCUCAUUCAAGAAUGGCGCAGAGGCUACAACAUACAAUGCAAAAAAAAAUUAUCUACAUUUUCGAACUUGCAUAAAUAUCAAUAUUAUAGAAAAUAAUACCUCCACAAAAGAGAAAUAAAGUGAGUUGAUUGUUAAAGAUAUGGAAUAUGGAAAUAUUGUCUAGAAUAAUCU
RNAcentral lists this long non-coding RNA (1138 nucleotides) under Olea europaea subsp. europaea. Lineage: Eukaryota; Viridiplantae; Streptophyta; Magnoliopsida; Lamiales; Oleaceae. The record is from RNAcentral.